This 5414-nucleotide long non-coding RNA is filed under the name Sus scrofa (pig). RNAcentral's name for it is "lncRNA (ENSSSCG00030007994.1)". Lineage: Eukaryota; Metazoa; Chordata; Mammalia; Artiodactyla; Suidae. The record is from RNAcentral.
GGGGCAGAGAAAGCAGCAAGAAAUGUUGCCUCAGAAGGAGCUUUUUCCCAUCGUGAGGAUGCUUGGAGCCUGGCCUUGAGUGAGGAGUGAGAUGCUGCUCUUCAGCUCCUAGGCAGUGGAGGUCCUGCAUGUUUUUAUGAGCCAUGGACAUGUUUUUGGGCAUCAUGGUUAUGCAGCCACAAUGCUCUGGGGGUCUCUCCUUGGAUCUUACACUGCUUGUUUUGGCUUACGGACCAGUGCAUACUUUUAUGGCCAUUCAUUACUACAGGAAUGAAAAUAAGGCCCUUGAACCACUCCCCACCAUCCUAAAGCAGCUUCUUCUUACAUGGCCUUGGAUCAGCUCGCCAUCCACGUCCAACAGAACAAAUGCUAGCACAGGGGUCUUCCGUGGCUGAGACAGGUUCUGUGACUUGCAUUUGACUGAUGAAAUAUGGCAGAAGUGACACUGUGUGACUUCUGAAGCUUGUGCAGAAGAUGCUUUGCAUCAUCUUCCAGGAGUUCUUGAAACACUUUUUGGGACCCAGCUACCACAUAGUGAGAAGACCCAGCCACACACAGGUGCUCCAGUGGACAGCCCCAUCUGUGCUCCAAGCCAGCAUCAACUGCCAGCCUUGUGAAUGAACCACCUUGGACUUUCAGCCCCAUUGAGCCUGCAGACAACUCCAACCCUACAUACUGCAUGACUGCAGUAGGAUGAAAUAGAUAAACAGGCCCAGGGAGGUUUUGUGCCUAGCUUGAGUCAACACUGCUCUGGUGGUGGUCAGUCUCCUGCUGCUCGGUCCACAGUGCACACUAUUUCUGCUCUCUCUGGCUGGAGAGUCAGGGAAACUGUUGAGCCUACGAUAAUGAAGUCAAUUCUGAUCAACUGAGAUGCAGGAGGAACUCUGAGCAAGAUGAAGAAGGGGUGAAUGGUGACCUGUUCAGCCUGGCUGUUGGGCAUCCCCGGCUUUCAGCAGCACUGGAGGAAACGGAGCCAUGAUGGGCAACACACCAGGGACUGCAAAGGAGGCAACGGCAUAAUUUCUGCCCCCUGGAGAAGUCUGGCGCUGGCUAACAGACACAGCACAGGACUCAGGAGUGGAAGUGAAGCGUGCUCAUAACAUAUGAACGCAAGUGCCAAGCACCGUCCUUGAAAGAACAGAGCAGAACCUGACCAUCAGGCUGAUAGAAGUUGCAGAAAUAUGCCUUCACCAUGAUAAAAAUCUGGAUGUUGCAUAUGGAAAUUCAGGAUUUUUUUUAGCUUUUUUGAACAAUUGGAAAAUCUAAUGAUACUGGGAUACAAGACUUGUUUUUCUUGCAUGUUAACACCCAUUGGAGCUGAGCAGGGACUGUCCCGCUUUUUGUGGGACAUGAGUUUUGUGUGGGACAGAUAACCAUGGUUCCCACUGCUCCCUACUCCCGACACCUGGCCUGUCCUUCUCAAUUACUUGCCUGGUCCCUGGAGCCAUUUCAGUUUGAACGUCCUGGACCAGACUCAGGAAGAGUUAGUUUGGAAAAGUGUCAUGGAAGUAGGAAAUUCUUGAACAGAUUUUGAAAGGCAAGAUAAGAGUAGGCUGGCUGAUUAGGUGCACGGCAUUUUAGGAAGAAGCUUUCUAGAAGACCAGAAUGCUUCGGUUUAGCCAGAAGUAGGGCUGAUCUCAGGGUAUCUGUGCUUUGGAGAAAUCCAGAUGGUGUUGGCUGAGCAAGGUCUUAGCUCCUACUCUGUGCCAGGCAUUUUGUAGGAGCACUUCAGUGGACAAGACAAAUAGUUUCCUCCCUCAGGGAGCUUACAGCCUACUGGUGGAGGUGGCCAGUCAACAAGAAAACAAACUGCUACAUGUAAUUUACCCACUGUAACCAGUACUAUAAAAGGAACAGACAGAGCAUUGUUGUCACAGAGAAUUAUAAUGAAGGUGGUCAGGGAGGGGAGAAAGGAAUGAUACGGUGAGGAAUAUGAUCAAGAAGAUGUCAGGAAGAGGGAACAGCAUAUGCAAAGGCCCUGUGGUGCAGAAACCUGGAAUAGUCCCAAGACUGGAAGAACAACCAAUGGGUCUAGAGCAUAGCAAGUAAAGAGGAAAGUGGUAUAACAUGACCUGGAAAAGGAGGCAGAGUCAGAUCACAGGCAUCUGAGUAAGAGGUUAGAGCUAGACUCCACUCUACAAAGCAGCUGUGAAAGGUCUGAAGGAUAGGAAUGACCUGAUUCAACUUACAUGUCAAAGGGGCUUGAGAGAUCGGCCUGGGAAAGGGCAAGGAAAGGCAGGACAACACAGAAGGAAGACAGGGAGGCAGUGAGCUGCUAUCCGAAAGGCACCUGGUGUGGGCUCUCCUGCCCUUGCAGCUGCCCACUGCCAUCAGAGCACUGCCAGUACUCCCUCCUCAGUUGGCAGCAGUCCAUGCAGCUUUCUCCUGGGUAUUUCCUUCAUCUCUACCCUUGGUGCUCAUGUUUUAGAACUUUUCUCCAGAAUAUAAAAUGAAGGGGAUGGUGACUUGCCUCUCUCUCCCUCCCCUGCAAACCCACCCCUGACCUCCCAGUACACAUACACACAAACCUGCAAGUGUGUACACACAGAGUGAUCUCAGGGUGCCUCACACCUAGGGUAGAAAGAAGCAGGUGGAAGAGCUUUGCCUGGCUGGAGUGACACCCACCAACCUGAGCUUAGCAGGAGUGGAGGCAGUUAGGUAGAGUAGGGCUGAUUGAUAAUAGCCUUGAAGUCUGAGACUGAAAGAGUUUCAUUAUGAUUUGGGAGGCAGCUGGGAGCCUUUGUGGAUGUGCAAAGAGGAGACCAAUGUGAUCUAAGUGACACUGGAGGAAAAAGAUUCUUGAUGAUGUGUGUCCAAUAGACGUGAGGGGACCCACACAGGCUGGAGGAAGGUGAGCUUAUUGGGAGGCAGGAGUCCAGGUGUGCAGGGAUUAUGACUUGGACCAAAGGUGUGGGAAGGGGAAGCAGCCAGAAGAAGAAAUGGCAGGAUUUAAUGUUGCACUUAGUGUGCCUCUGGGUGUAUGUUGGGGGUGGGAGACACGGGUAUAAAGAGAAAUGAAUGAGAAACCACGAAUUUAUUUGGCAAUGGCAUGGGACCUGGGAAUGGAUUUGGUAGGACAGCCAAGAGAAAUGUUUAAGAGCUCACUCAGACAUGAGAAGUCGUCCCUUCCUUCUCCCUCCAUCUUGGACGGUUAAUUACUUUGUCUCAGGUGUGUGUCCAUUCCUGUGCUUGUACCAUGAUGUCGUGUUAUAAUAUGUCUUUUGUCUGUCUAUACCUGCUGCUGAUCUGUGAGCCUCUGAAGACAGAUGCCUUAGUUUACUCCCUUUCUCUUCCCACUUCAUAGUUAGCAGGGGGCCUGGCCCUUAGCGAGAACUCAGCAUGUUUUGGUAAGUGAGUGAAUGGGAACUUUUCAGAGGCGUGCUGUUGAACCCCAGCCACUGUGCAACCACUGUAAAAUGUACACAUUUUGUGGAAGCUGCAGCAUCCUGUCAACAGUUGUGGAAAUCAGGUUACAGCCCAGAGCCUCACAAAGCCCCGGCCAUUACAGCGACUGACAGGUGGUCCUGGAAGUAGGGCAUGGAUUGGCGGACAGGAGGCUGGAGGAGUUAAAAUAGUGCUGGGGGAAUCUGAGAUGAAAUUGCAGGGUCGUUUAAACACCUUAGGGUUACAAAUGGGCUUUCACCCUUAAAAUCCCAUCUGUAAAUAUGUAGUCUUAAACUGCCUAAAGAGUCCUCUUAAUGUUGUUAAAUCCCAUGGUUGGUAGAGGCCAUAGCAAAGGCUUCGUACACUCUCAUCCUGUUGCUUUCACUGAAAUUACCUCUGUGUUACAAUGAAAUCUGAAACCUGGAAGAUAGGUUAAAAAUGAAACUCCCUACCACAUGCUAUGCUACCAACCAAAAUCAACUGAAUUUAUUAAGCUUUCUAGAUAACUACCUUACUCAGCUUUUAUUCUGUGCCAGGCAUUGAUUAUAUGCACAUCAUAGCAUUUAAAGUUCACAACAAUUCCAUGAGAUAGGCACUGGUGUUGCCACUGGUGUUGCAGGUGAGCAAUCUGACGCCUAAAGGGUUGAAGUUACUUGCCCACUAAGUGUGCUCUAUUAUGAGCUCAUCCCUUGGCCAUGCAGUCUUCCAACUUAACAACAAGAAAGACAAGCCUGGGAAGGACAGAAGAGGUGGGGCUUCAAGUAGAGCAGGGAGUUUUCCAUGAAGAAGCAUGAAUGCAAGCUGCUUGAGCAGCCCAGUCCCCCCAGAGAGUACACGUGGAGGGAGACAGAGUGAUCAAGACUGCUUUUUACAGUGGGUCUUCAAGAGACACUUGGGGAGGUAGAGGAGGAGACAGCCAUGGGACCAAAGGACCUUUCCAAGAAGCAACCAGGAGUUCACCCAAGUCCCACUAUAGCUGAAACACCCUGUUAGCAGGACCUUCAUCUUCUCUGUUUCUUCUUACCUAUUCCUUCCCCAAUCACACAUUCCUAAUAGAUAAACAGAUAGAUUGGGUGCCAACAGUGUUUUCAAUUCAGAUGUUCAUUUAGCAGGAACUUGGCUAAGGAUCAGCCUAUCUAGAAUCUGGGACCAGAUGAGAGUAUAACAACUACGUGAGAAAAGCAUACGAUAUCAAAGCAAUAUAGCGCAUCUAACUUGCCUUCCGAGAAGCCAAGGAAACCCAAAGGAUGGCUCAAAAAGAGCAAGACUGCACUGCACUUCCUCUGGCCAUUACUACAACCAAAAGUGGUUUUGUGCAUGCUCAGCAGUCUUGGAAAAUUGCCUUUGCCCAAGGCCACCCAGGGCAACAAUGGUAAAACAAUGGAGGGCAAAGGGGUGAAUCUGAAUUUCAACAUAGUGCUUUCCAGAUAGUGGCUGCAGAAAUUCACUUAAUGGUUUUAAACUGAACUUUUCCGAAACUCAAAAGAGAUACAGGUUAUGGAUUUGAGGAAGGCUGUUAUACUGAUAGUGUUUUGUUUUGUUUUGUCUUUUCUUUUCUUUUUUUUUAGGGCUGCACCCUCAGCAUAUGGAGGUACCCAGGCUAGGAGUCGAAUCAGAGCUGUAGCUGCCGGCCUGCGCCACAGCCACAGCGACCCCAGAUCCAAGCCAAGUCUGCUACCUACACCACGGCUUAUAGCAAUGCCAGAUCCUUAACCCAUUGAGCGAGGCCAGGAUCAAACCCGUGUCCUCAUGGAUGCUGAUCAGAUUCAUUUCCAUUGGAGCACAUCGGGAACUCCUGCUGAUAGUAUUAGAGAUGAAAAGCUUUUGGGAGAUAAUUUAGUUCAGACUCCUAAUUUUUAAAGGCCAGAAAACUGAAGCUAAGAAAGGAGAAGCAACUUGCUCAUGGUUACACAACCAGACAAUUGACAUACUGGGGCUAGAAACCAAGUUUCCUCUCUGUUCUGCUGGAAUUUUUCCCCCUAGGGGACAUAGGAGAGUUAAGCACCCAAAUAAAAACAUUGUCUCAGCAU